AGAGUUUGAUCCUGGCUCAGGAUGAACGCUAGCGGCAGGCUUAACACAUGCAAGUCGAGGGGUAACAGGGACUGCUUGCAGUCCGCUGACGACCGGCGCACGGGUGCGUAACGCGUAUGCAACUUACCCUUUACUGGAGGAUAGCCCGGAGAAAUUCGGAUUAAUACUCCAUGGUAUCUUAAAAUGGCCUCAUUUAAAGAUUAAAGGUAACGGUAAAGGAUGGGCAUGCGUCCUAUUAGCUAGUUGGUGAGGUAAAGGCUCACCAAGGCGACGAUAGGUAGGGGGCCUGAGAGGGUUAUCCCCCACACUGGUACUGAGACACGGACCAGACUCCUACGGGAGGCAGCAGUGAGGAAUAUUGGACAAUGGAGGCAACUCUGAUCCAGCCAUGCCGCGUGCAGGAAGACGGUCCUCAGGAUUGUAAACUGCUUUUUUAAGGGAAUAAACCUCCGUACGUGUACGGGGCUGAAUGUACCUUAGGAAUAAGCACCGGCUAACUCCGUGCCAGCAGCCGCGGUAAUACGGAGGGUGCAAGCGUUAUCCGGAAUCAUUGGGUUUAAAGGGUGCGUAGGCGGGCAGAUAAGUCAGUGGUGAAAUCCCAUCGCUUAACGAUGGAACUGCCAUUGAUACUGUUUGUCUUGAAUUCGGUUAGAGUGGGCGGAAUGUGUAGUGUAGCGGUGAAAUGC
This 686-nucleotide ribosomal RNA is filed under the name uncultured bacterium. RNAcentral describes it as "bacterial SSU rRNA". It matches the Rfam family "Bacterial small subunit ribosomal RNA", at positions 8 to 689 of the family's 1533-position model. The record is from RNAcentral.